This 545-nucleotide ribosomal RNA is filed under the name uncultured bacterium. RNAcentral describes it as "bacterial SSU rRNA". It matches the Rfam family "Bacterial small subunit ribosomal RNA", at positions 777 to 1320 of the family's 1533-position model. The record is from RNAcentral.
AAUAGAUACCCCGGUAGUCCACGCCGUAAACGAUGAGAACUAGGUGUCGUGGGUGUUGACCCCCGCGGUGCCGUAGCUAACGCAUUAAGUAUCCCGCCUGGGGAGUACGGCCGCAAGGCUAAAACUCAAAGGAAUUGACGGGGGCCCGCACGAAGCAGCGGAGCAUGUGGUUUAAUUGGACGCAACGCCAAGAACCUUACCUGGGCUUGACAUGUUCCUGACCCCCCUGGAAACAGGGGUUCCCUUCGGGGGCAGGAUCACAGGUGGUGCAUGGCUGUCGUCAGCCCGUGUCGUGAGAUGUUGGGUUAAGUCCCGCAACGAGCGCAACCCUCGCCCUUAGUUGCCAUCAUUCAGUUGGGCACUCUAAGGGGACUGCCGGUGGUAAGCCGCGAGGAAGGUGGGGAUGACGUCAAGUCCUCAUGGCCCUUACAGGGUUGGGCUACACACGUGCUACAAUGGCGGUGACAAUGGGCAGCGAACCCGCGAGGGGGAGCUAAUCCCAAAAAGCCGUCUCAGUUCAGAUUGCACUCUGCAACUCGAGUGCA